GAAGCUCAGUGGUAGAGCAUUUGCUUUGCAUGCGGAAGUCCCAGGUUCAAUUCCUGGAAUCCACA
This is a non-coding RNA of Podarcis lilfordi (Lilford's wall lizard), 65 nucleotides long. NCBI's taxonomy places the organism in Eukaryota, Metazoa, Chordata, Lepidosauria, Squamata, Lacertidae. The record is from the annotation of a GenBank genome assembly.